CGGGUGAGUAAUAUGUAGGAAUCUACCUAGAGGUGGGGGAUAACCUGGGGAAACCCAAGCUAAUACCACAUAAGCCCUACGGGGGAAAGCAGGGGACCGCAAGGCCUUGCGCCUUAUGAUGAGCCUACAUCGGAUUAGCUAGUUGGUGGGGUAAAGGCCUACCAAGGCGACGAUCCGUAGCUGGUCUGAGAGGAUGACCAGCCACACUGGGACUGAGACACGGCCCAGACUCC
Molecule: ribosomal RNA, 233 nt
Filed under: uncultured bacterium
Lineage: Bacteria
Description: partial 16S ribosomal RNA
Rfam family: Bacterial small subunit ribosomal RNA
Source: RNAcentral